UACGGAGGGGCUAGCGUUAUUCGGAAUUACUGGGCGUAAAGCGUGCGCAGGCGGUGAUGUAAGACAGUUGUGAAAUCCCCGGGCUCAACCUGGGAACUGCAUCUGUGACUGCAUCGCUGGAGUACGGUAGAGGGGAUGGAAUUCCGCGUGUAGCAGUGAAAUGCGUAGAUAAUGCGGAGGAACACCGGUGGCGAAGGCGGCCUGCUGGGCAGUGGCUGACGCUGGAGGCGCGACAGCGUGGGGAGCAAACAGG
This 253-nucleotide ribosomal RNA is filed under the name uncultured bacterium. RNAcentral describes it as "partial 16S ribosomal RNA". It matches the Rfam family "Bacterial small subunit ribosomal RNA", at positions 524 to 776 of the family's 1533-position model. The record is from RNAcentral.